Molecule: non-coding RNA, 30 nt
Filed under: Rattus norvegicus (Norway rat)
Lineage: Eukaryota; Metazoa; Chordata; Mammalia; Rodentia; Muridae
Source: RNAcentral
UUGGAGAUUAUGAGAGCUUUGAGAUGUGGU